AAUUGUUUCAUAUACAUUUCAAUUGAGGGGAUACUAGAGAAACGUAAAUAAUGAGUAUCCCAUUUUUUACUGGAGAAACAACAUAUUCAUUUGCUUCUUGCGUGAGCUAUUCAGGACAUUAUUGUGUUUCCAUAUAUCCCAUUUGAUAUUAAAAGAAUUAUUCUGAAAACGAAAACAUUGUUUACUAUUGCACUAGUUAACCAACGUUUGUUUACGCUUUAAAGCAGUUUUGCACAAGUGCAUUUUCUUGAUGUUGAAAAGUAGACUUUCACAGAUUUAGAUCUCUUUUAGUAAGAAAAAAAUAGGGUAAUAAAUAAAUUUUUUUAAACUACUUUUUAUUA
Molecule: non-coding RNA, 341 nt
Organism: Schizosaccharomyces pombe (fission yeast)
Lineage: Eukaryota; Fungi; Ascomycota; Schizosaccharomycetes; Schizosaccharomycetales; Schizosaccharomycetaceae
Source: the annotation of a GenBank genome assembly